UGCUUUUCUUGUAUAAUUAUAUUUAUUUACCUUCCUGAAGUUCUGAUUGCUUUAUUUUAUUCUUUUUCAGUCUUUGCACUUAACAGGAUUGUUCAAAGUAUCAUGAGUAAAUAUCAGAAUUCUGAUAUUCUCUUGGUCAAAGGAUUUCAAUGCAAUUCUAUCAAGUCGGGAAGGCAAAUAACUACUUAAUCCCCCAGCAAAAAGAGCUCCAUCACCUGCAAAAGCUCAACUUUUCUUUUUAAUCUAGGAAUAUGAGUGCUAUAAAAGAGGUUACUGCUGCCAUGAAAAUAGUAAGUGCUCCAUAAAAUCAAAUCUACAUCUUGUUUAAAUUCUUAGUUUUGCUCUCAUUUGUUAUGUGACUUUGGAUCUAAUUUCUCAG
RNAcentral lists this long non-coding RNA (379 nucleotides) under Macaca mulatta (Rhesus monkey). RNAcentral describes it as "lncRNA (ENSMMUG00000056050.1)". The record is from RNAcentral. Lineage: Eukaryota; Metazoa; Chordata; Mammalia; Primates; Cercopithecidae.